GAUGAAGAACGUAGCGAAAUGCGAUAAGUAAUGUGAAUUGCAGAAUUCAGUGAAUCAUCGAAUCUUUGAACGCACAUUGCGCCCGCCAGUAUUCUGGCGGGCAUGCCUGUCCGAGCGUCAUUUCAACCCUCAAGCCCCCGGGCUUGGUGUUGGAGAUCGGCGAGCCCCCCGGGGCGCGCCGUCUCCCAAAUAUAGUGGCGGUCCCGCUGUAGCUUCCUCUGCGUAGUAGCACACCUCGCACUGGGAAACAGCGUGGCCACGCCGUAAAACCCCCCACUUCUGAAAGGUUGACCUCGGAUCAGGUAGGAAUACCCGCUGAACUUAAGCAUACAAUAAGCGGAGGA
Molecule: unclassified non-coding RNA, 344 nt
Filed under: soil metagenome
Description: partial contains 5.8S ribosomal RNA, internal transcribed spacer 2, and large subunit ribosomal RNA
Rfam family: 5.8S ribosomal RNA (bases 1-120)
Source: RNAcentral